RNAcentral lists this ribosomal RNA (207 nucleotides) under uncultured bacterium. RNAcentral's name for it is "partial 16S ribosomal RNA". It matches the Rfam family "Bacterial small subunit ribosomal RNA", at positions 568 to 774 of the family's 1533-position model. The record is from RNAcentral.
CACGCAGGUGGCUGAGUCAGUCGAUUGUGAAAGCCCUGGGCUUAACCUGGGAAUUGCAGUCGAUACUACUCAGCUAGAGUAUGGGAGAGGGCAGUGGAAUUCCCGGUGUAGCGGUGAAAUGCGUAGAUAUCGGGAGGAACAUCAGUGGCGAAGGCGGCUGCCUGGCCCAAUACUGACACUCAGGUGCGAAAGCCAGGGGAGCAAACG